This is a non-coding RNA of Cinara cedri, 239 nucleotides long. The record is from the annotation of a GenBank genome assembly. Lineage: Eukaryota; Metazoa; Arthropoda; Insecta; Hemiptera; Aphididae.
UUAAGUUUUUUUGUUUUUUUUUUGUACUCUUUUAACGAGUAACGACUUUUCUUUUUACGAUAAAAAAAAAAAAAAAAAAAAUUAGUGCAUAAUCGAUUUUUUUUUUUUUUUUUUUAACGUAAUAUUUUAAACGAAACGAUAUUUGAUAUUUUUAGAGUCUAUAUUUUGUAUUUUUAUUCACAUAUACUUAUUAUAUUAGAUAUAAAAAAAAAAAAAAAAAAAAAAAAAAGGAAAAAAAA